Molecule: long non-coding RNA, 6209 nt
Filed under: Sus scrofa (pig)
Lineage: Eukaryota; Metazoa; Chordata; Mammalia; Artiodactyla; Suidae
Description: lncRNA (ENSSSCG00000056820.1)
Source: RNAcentral
CCUCUUGUCGUGUAACCUAUGUGAGUUUUAAGGAUUCCUCAAUAAGAAAAAGCAAUGCAUAUUUUUCAGGGCCAUAUAAAAAUUCAAGUUCAUUCCAGUUCAAGUUCAGGGAGUUUUACCAGAGGUGUUCACGAUGGAUUGAAAAUGACAAUGUAAACAAAAAUUUUUUUUUUCAAUGUGCUAGCCAAAGUUAGAGUGGCCUUUACUGUACAUGGCUAUAGUUUUAUGAAUCUUCUCAGAAACUUCAAGAAGACGUUAGGUAGAUCUAAAUUCUUAGUCCUGAAAAUGUCACUGGAGCUGACAUUUUCUGUGAAGAUCGUGGUCAACCACUAUUUAUAGGAAGCACAGUGAAGACAUGGGCAUUAUUCAGGUCAUAGGGUAUGUCCUGAGCUCUCUCAGUCAUCCUGCCUGAGAUACAGUCCUGGCUCAGGACAAAGCUACAUAUUCCUCACUUUCCUGUGUGUCAGAUUUAUACCUUCAAAAUAGAGAUCAAAAGACGAGUGAGCUUGGAACCAAGGGAGCAUUGUGUCCAGGAGCUUAGCCUGUCGUGUGGGGUCUAGGUUGGGAGUCCUACAAGGACCUUGAUAACUUGGGCAUUAAAACUACUUGAAAUGUACUAAACUCUGCCAAGAACGCUGGUCAGUAUUCCAAAGGAUCAGUGCCAAAAAUGUCUCAUUAAAAUAAAAAGAAGAUGUGAUUUGAAAUUAUUUUUUAGAAUGGCAAGCUUACUGGUUUAAAAAAAGUACCUUUUAAUAUAGCAUAAAUUGUAUAUCAUAUAAUAGCAACUGUAUAAUGUAAUGCAAACAACAAAAAAAAAUUUCAGAUUUUUUUUCUUUAUAGCCAAAUCAACAGGAAAGAAAUGUUAUUGUUGGGUAAGGGUUGUUUGUGCUAUCAGCAGUGGAUACAGGACCCAUGGUUAUCUUUUUGAAAUUUUAUUUUUGGACAGCCUGUGCUUGUUCAGGCAGUUCCUCUGGCAUCCUUCUCCCCACCAAAGUCACUCCCCGUCCCUUCCCCAGGAGAGGUGAUUUCUGUGCUAGUCACUCGAGAAGAGUCAUAGCAGCAUCUUUUCCUUUGUGGAACCCAGGAGAGACCACUAACAGGGAGAGUCAGGGAGUGCGAAGAUGGCAGAUGAGGGCCAUGGUUAGGAGAGGAGGGGCAGAGGGGGUGGGCUCACAAAUGACAAGAGUGGUGUUGAUAAGAUGCCCAGGUGGGGUUGGGGGUAAGAGGAGAGAGAUCGAUGAGCCACCAGGUGGCUACCCCCACGGAUGCUCAGAGACUUCUCUUAAGUCUCCCUCAACCUCACUGAAUUUUUCUAUGGUUCUCUAGUGCUGUGCUGUCCUACAGAAGCCACUAGGCACCUGUGGCCCUUGAGAUGCGACUAGUCAAAAUUGUCCCUUGUUUUAAGUGUAAAAUACAUCCUGGAUUUCAAAGAUGUCAUAUUAAAAAGGCAAAAGAGUUCACUAAUCAUUUUUAUAUCUACUACAUGUUGAAGUGAUAAUAUUUAAGAUAUUCCAUUAGAAUUCAUUUCUUUUUUUUUUUUUCACGCUUUAAAAAUGGUUACUAGGAAAUGUAAACUUAUAUCUGUGGUUUGCUUUACCAACCACAUUUUCUAGUUUCUGUAUUGGAUGCUUUGAGGCUUUGUUAACCCUGAGGGGGCCACCUCUCCCAGGACUAGCCAACUUCUAGAGAUGUUAAGGUUGGCAUAUGAAAGUACCUUCCAUACGCAAAGCAACCUAUCCAGCACCUCCUUUACUGGACUUUCACACUUCAGGCCAUUGUCCAUCUGCCCUAAUCAUUCUAGGCUGGGUACACACCACUAGGGACAGCUUCUGUGCUCCAGAGCCAGCUUUUUAUUUUUUUUCUCUUUAUAGUUGCACCCGGGGCAUAUGAAAGUUUCUGGGCCAGGGGUUGAAUUGGAGCUGUAGCUGCAGCCUUCACCACAGCCAUGGCAACACUAGAUCUGAGGCACAUCUGUGACCUAAGCUGCAGUUUAUGGCAAUACUGGGUCUUUAACCCACUGCACAAGGCCAGGGAUUGAACCCGCAUCCUCUAGAGACAUUGUCGGGUCCUUAACCCACUGAGCCACACUGGAAACUCUCCCAGAGCCGGCUUUAAUUAUUCAAACCACCAAUCCUAAUUCUCUUUGCCCUGUCUCUCCCAUUCUUCCUUGUGGAAGCCACUGUAAAAGCCCUUGCCUGCUUCCCCCCCACGCCCUCAGUACAGCCCUGGGAGGCUCCCCAUGGAAUGAGCUGCCCCUCCUCUUAGGAUUUGUGGAUAUAACAAACUGUCUUUUCAAUGGCAGUCAUUUUCUGUUCCUUUCACUUUGCCAUGCUUGGAUUAUAAUAAAAUCUAUGUUUUAUAAUACCUGUAUCCUAUUUCUGUGGGACAGUAUUUUUUUCUCCAAGUGGAGAUCCUUGAUCACCUGUGGUAGAAUCACCUACAGAAUCAGAAUCAAACAUCCAGAAUCCUGGGCCUCUUGGAAGUAGUACAGCCCUGAAACAUAGUAUUAGCUCAAUGAAAUAGUAGCUAUUAUUAUUUUGAUGCCACAAUAACAAUUGUAGUAAUAAUGAUAGUAAAGUGAUUUCAUUCUGGCUUGAGAAGACCAUUUCUUCUCUGUUUAUUGUUAUGUUUAUUACUAUUUUGUAAUAUGUUAGUUUUGUUUUUGGCUGCCGCUCAGCAUAUGGAGUUCCUGGGCGGGGAUCAGAUCUGAUCCUCAGCUGCUGCUCUGGCAAUUCUAGAUCCUUAACCCACUGUGCAGGGCUGGCAAGCAAACCUACAUCCCUGCACUCCAGAGAUGCCAACGAUCCCGUAGCACCAUAAUGGGAACUCCUUGUUAUAUGUUUUAAAAAUGUAUUAUAUACGUAUCUUUAUUUGUUAAACUAGCAUUUAUUGAGUGUUCACUAUUGGUCAAGCUUGCGUUAAGUGUUUUACACAUCAUUUGAUUUAAUCCUCAUUAUAAUCAAUUGAGUAACAAGUAAGCAACCAAAGUAACUUGCCCGGAGUCACGCAGCUUGCUAGUGUUGGAGCCGUGGGGAAGCUAAAUAAUCGUGAGGAUUAUUUUGGGCUGAUUGUUUUAAGAAACAGAAGACUCAAGAAAUUUUUCUUUUAACCUUCCCCUUGACUGCCUAAAAGAAUGUAGAUAGAGGACCUGUUCUAGGAAGAAGGUAUCACCAGAGAUAACUGUAGUACAAUGUGAACCAGGUGUGGAGACGGGGGAGAUACAGUAAAGUCUGUUUCUUAAAAUCCCUCUCUGUAUCCCAUUGUUUCUGUGCAGCCCAGCAAAGACUCGCAACCAAACAUCUACUCUUUUCCAUCUUCCCAUGAAUUGCCGCCCUUCUCUCUGGAGUCCCACCACCCUUCCCACGUCUCCUUCUCUCAGACGGCAUGUAAGCCUCGCUUGGCUAACUUGUCUUUGGCUCUCAUUUUCUCCUGAAGCCCCAAUAUGUACAAAAUUAACUUCGAUUUUCUGCUCUUGAUCUGACUCACAUCACUUGAAUUCUUAGACCUAGAAGGGUAGAGGAAACAUUUUCCCCUCCCUGACUGAGAAUAUAUGUCAUUUUGAAUAAUGUACAAUUUUUGUAUAUACUUAAAACUGUUCGACACAGUCCCUAUUCAGAAGGAUGAUUUAGAGUGUCUGUUCAGUUAAGAAUUGUAGUGAAACAAAUACACAUGUGAGCCCCCCGAGGAGGGGAGCGUGUCUUCUCUCUGUGCCUCUUUCCACUUUUCUCCACUAGAGGUGGCCCACCUUAACUUUUGUGAUUGUCAUCCUGUUCUUCUCUGUAUAUACACACCACCCAUAGGUGUUUCUCUAAACAGCAUUUUCUCUAAACUUGGUAUUUUACUUGCCUGCUCACAGACUUUAGACAAGUAGACUACUCUGCUGUGGUUUGCUGCUUUUGCUCAGUACCCAUCUGUGUGGAGUGAGAGUAGUUGGAGUCUGCUCAUUUUCUCUGCUUUACUGAAUUCUAUUAUGUGAAUAUUAUUUUGGUUGACAUUUUUCUGUUGACCUUUGGGUGGUUUUAUGGUUUUUGUUAUUAAGAAUAAUACUGCUAGGAGUUCCAGCUGUGGUGCAGUGGAUUAAGGACCCACCAUUGCCACAGCUGUGGCGUAGGUCAUAGCUGCAGCUCGGAUUCAGUCCCUGGCCUGGGAACUUCCAUAUGUUCAAGGAAAAAAGGAGAGAACGAUUUUGCUAAUACUGCCAGAAAUACUCUAUUUUCCUGUUCUUGAAGUUUCAAAGGUGUUUAUUCUUUUUUUUAUAAACAAAUUACUAUUAGUAUUAGCUAACUAACAUUUUAUUUAUUUUUUUUUAGGGCUGCACCCACAACAUAUGGAAGUUCUUAGACUAGGGGUCAAAUGGAGCCGCAUCUGUGACCUACACCACAGCUCAUGGCAAUGCCGGAGCCUUAACCCACCAAGCCAGGGCCAGGGGUUGAACCUGCAUCCUCAUGGAUACUAGUUUGGUUCGUUACCACUGAUCCAUAAUGGGAACUCCUUAACUAGUAUAUUAUUUUAUUUUCAUUUCAUUUUAUUUUAUUUUUUGUCUUUUUGCCAUUUCUUUGGCAGCUCCCACAGCAUAUGGAGGUUCCCAGGCUAGGGGUCAAAUAGGAGCUGUAGCCACUGGCCUAUGCCAGAGCCACAGCAGCUCGGGAUCUGAGCCACGUCUGCAUCCUACACCACAGCUCAUGGCAACGCCGGAUCCUUAACUCACUGAGCAAGGCCAGGGAUCGAACCUGCAACCUCAUGGUUCCUAGUUGGAUUCGUUAAACACUGAGCCACGACGGGAACUCCCUUAACUAUAUUAUAACUAAUCUGUGGGCCUCUUUGGUUUUCAUUAGUUUCUUCACUGAUGCCCUUUCAGGAUCUUAUCCAGGAUCGCACAUUACAUUUGCUUUCUAUUUUCGGGGUCACCUUUUGAACCUGUUUCUGUCUUACUCCAAAAGUCACAGCAGCAGUAUUUCAGGGUGAUUUAAGGCAGCAUGUGAAAUAGAUUUUAGGGCAGAGAAGUAAAAGAAAGAAUGCCAGAAGAGUCUUUCUAUAUUAUUAUUUUUAAUUAAUUUUUAAAUUAAGGUAUAGAUUUACAGUGCUGUGCCAAUUUCUGCUGUACAGCGAAGUGACUCAGUUAUGUACAUUCAUUUUUUAUUCUUUUCCAUCAUGGUCUUGCCCAGGAGAUUGGAUAUAGUCCCCAUGCUAUAAGGAGGGUCUUAUUGUUUAGCCUUUCUAAACGUAAUAGUUUGCAUCUCGCUAUGUUAUUAUUGCUUAAGGCAGAGAGGAGAAGGGGUCUGACAAAGAGGAGCCAUGCAGGUGUAUACACAUCUGUGUGGCACAGACUGCAUUGUAACAGUGUGUUCAUCUGUCUCCCAUAGAAGCCCACAAGUUCCUUGAGGGCAAGGGACACUAAAGCUAAUUCAUCUUAGUAUUUUCUUCAGGUACUUAGACGAGGGACUGGCUAAUGGCUAACGUAGUCAUUUGGUGGGGGUUUGUCAAAUGCAUUAAGAUGAAUGAGAAAGGUGAGCUGAAAGGGAAGCUGUGACCCACAGAAAGCAUCAGAAGGCUAAACGGAAAGAGGGACAAAGAAAGAAGAAGAGGGAUCUGGUCAGCUGAUGGGCUGGGAGACACAGACAGGGAAGUCAAGGCACUGACAGCAGAAGAGAAAGAAAGGACGCGAGAAUACAGAGGAAAGGAAGCAGGGAGAUUUGCCAUAUAAGCAGUGAGAGCUGUGGCGCCGUUUUCCCGCCUUGUUGCUAACUUCGAUUCUGUACGUGAUCACCCAUCACUGACCUUCAAAGCCUUGCCUCCUUUAUUUAUUGCUGUUCACAGCACUCAGACCUUCUUUUCUUCUUUACUCCCUCAUUUUACUCCGUCACCCGUCGCUGCUAAGAAUAGUCUCAUGCUGCAGCAAUAGAAUGUCACAUGAUUCCUGUACUUCACUGUCACCGGGCCACUCCUGGAGCUUAGGCCUCCAGGUUGCUUCCUGCUCCAAGACCUUUGCACGUGUUGGUCCCUCCUUCUCAGGUUCUCGACCCUCAGGUUUUCAUAGGAUUGGCUUCCUCUCAUCCUCAAAGUUUUCGCCCCUCAAAGUUUUAGCCUCUUGCUGUUUUAUUGUCUUCGAAGUGCUUAGGGCUCUGGGGAAUUUUCUUGUUUUGCUCACUUCUUUUUCAUUUGUCUAGAAUGAAAGUGUCUAGUCCACUAGAAUAUAGUUCCAUGAGGGA